RNAcentral lists this ribosomal RNA (440 nucleotides) under uncultured bacterium. Its description in RNAcentral is "partial 16S ribosomal RNA". It matches the Rfam family "Bacterial small subunit ribosomal RNA", at positions 338 to 795 of the family's 1533-position model. The record is from RNAcentral.
CCUACGGGAGGCAGCAGUAGGGAAUUUUGCGCAAUGGGCGAACGCCUGACGCAGCAACGCCGCGUGAACGAGACGCCCUUCGGGGUGUAAAGUUCUGUCAGUGGGGACGAAAAAUGCCGGUACCCACAGAGGAAGCACCGGCUAACUCCGUGCCAGCAGCCGCGGUAAUACGGAGGGUGCAAGCGUUGUCCGGAAUCAUUGGGCGUAAAGGGGUCGUAGGCGGCAUGGAAAGUCAGGUGGUAAAGGCGCAGGCUCAACCUGUGUAUGGCACUUGAUACUUGCAAGCUGGAGUGCGGUAGAGGUAAAGGGAAUGCGUGGUGUAGCGGUGAAAUGCUUAGAUAUCAGGAGGAACAUCGGUGGCGUAAGCGGUUUACUGGGCCGUAAUUGACGCUGAGGAACGAAAGCCAGGGUAGCAAAUGGGAUUAGAUACCCCAGUAGUC